RNAcentral lists this ribosomal RNA (235 nucleotides) under uncultured bacterium. Its description in RNAcentral is "partial 16S ribosomal RNA". It matches the Rfam family "Bacterial small subunit ribosomal RNA", at positions 96 to 334 of the family's 1533-position model. The record is from RNAcentral.
UGGCGGACGGGUGAGUAAUGUCUGGGAAACUGCCCGAUGGAGGGGGAUAACUACUGGAAACGGUAGCUAAUACCGCAUAACGUCGCAAGACCAAAGAGGGGGACCUUCGGGCCUCUCGCCAUCGGAUGUGCCCAGAUGGGAUUAGCUAGUAGGUGGGGUAACGGCUCACCUAGGCGACGAUCCCUAGCUGGUCUGAGAGGAUGACCAGCCACACUGGAACUGAGACACGGUCCAG